Molecule: unclassified non-coding RNA, 343 nt
Filed under: soil metagenome
Description: partial contains 5.8S ribosomal RNA, internal transcribed spacer 2, and large subunit ribosomal RNA
Rfam family: 5.8S ribosomal RNA (bases 1-120)
Source: RNAcentral
GAUGAAGAACGUAGCGAAAUGCGAUAAGUAAUGUGAAUUGCAGAAUUUAGUGAAUCAUCGAAUCUUUGAACGCACAUUGCGCCCGCUAGUAUUCUGGCGGGCAUGCCUGUCCGAGCGUCAUUUCAACCCUCAAGCCCCCGGGCUUGGUGUUGGGGAUCGGCGAGCCUCCGCGCCCGCCGUCCCCUAAAUCUAGUGGCGGUCUCGCUGUAGCUUCCUCUGCGUAGUAGCACACCUCGCACUGGGAAACAGCGCGGCCACGCCGUUAAACCCCCAACUUCUGAACGUUUGACCUCGGAUCAGGUAGGAAUACCCGCUGAACUUAAGCAUAUCAAUAAGCGGAGGA